CUGUCAGCAUCUUUUGCGGCACCAUUGAAAUGAAUGGGUCCGCAUUCGAACCGCAAAAACUGCGGCUCGGAUGCGGACCAAAACAACGGUCGUGUGCAUGAGGCCUAAGAAUGUGCAUUUUCUGAGCUGACCACAAAUUUUAGGAUUAUCUCAUAUUUUUUAACCUUUUUAACAAAAUUUGGUACUUAGUAAUAUAAAAUUAUGUCAUUGUAUCUUGAUUGCUUGAUCUUUGCAUGUUUAUUGCCCAUAACUGUGUCGGGAUGCCCCUGUUCCUAUCAAGGGUUUGUCCAGAUUUAUGUAACAGAAGCUUAAUUGUAUGUCACAGUUAUGCAACUUACUAAGAUAUUUUGUACUUUAUUUCCACACUAUGUUCAGGAUCUUUGCUUUUAGGAAAAGAAGCAUUACUUUUUUACAUUCAUUAGGCAAAAUACCCAUCGUGACGCACUACCGAGUUGUGCAGCCAGUACAUAUUGAUGACCUAUCCUCAGGGUCUGACUCCUGGCACCCCCACCGAUCAACUGUUUGAAGAGCAGGCGGCGCUCGUACGAGCACUAAUUCUCUUUAAGGUUACACUGUGCAUCGCCUCGGCUGUCUCUCCGCAGUGUAAUUACAAGUGCUUGUUCCAUUCACUUGAAUAUGACAAGUACUUGUAACUACACUGGAAGCGAGACAACGUGCAAUGUAAUCUUGAAGAGGAAGUAGUGCUCGUAGAAGUGCUGCCUCCUCUUCAAACAGCCGGGAGUCAGACCGCCACCGAUCAGAUAUUAAUGACCUAUCCUGAGAAUAAGUCAUCAAUAUGUACUGGCUGCACGACCCCUUUAAGCUUUAUUAACAUAAUCCAAUAAAACUCCAUUAAAGGGGUGGUACAGGAUUAGAAAAACAUGGCUGCUGUCUACACGAAAUAGUGCUAUGGCUGUUGAAGGUUUUAUUUGCUUUUGCUGCUUUGAAGUGAAUGGAACUGAGCUGCAACAACGAGGUGCGGCACUGUUUUUGGAAGAAAGUGGUCUGUACGCCCACUUGCAGCUCUCAUCAUCCUAUGUAUUAGACCUUGAUACCACACCCUUAAAUGUUUUUUGCCUAUUCAAAUUUUAUCAUGAGAAGAUGCAAAAUAAUGUAUUGUUCCUAUUUAUUGCAAGUCCUAUAUCUAAAAUACAGAGUUUUCUAUAAUUGUAUGUUUUUUCAUCGUUUGAAUUGUAUACUAGGUCUGGGCAGAGUACUGUAUACAGAGAUUGCCUAUGCCACAUUAAAGCCAUAUAUUUUAAUAAGCUCCUGUAUGAAAGCUGACUAAAGUAAAAUAUACGGUACCUUUUAAAAGACUGAAAGGUUUCUGUUAAAACCACUUGUCUGUUUAUUGUAUCUCAUUUCUCCAUGUUGCUUAUGGUACAGUAUUCUUGC
Long non-coding RNA from Bufo bufo (common toad), 1395 nucleotides. RefSeq lists it as uncharacterized. The record is from RefSeq and is a predicted model, not a curated record. The transcript is spliced from 2 exons. Lineage: Eukaryota; Metazoa; Chordata; Amphibia; Anura; Bufonidae.